Arachis stenosperma is the source of this 5094-nucleotide RNA transcript. It is a transcript of the gene named paired amphipathic helix protein Sin3-like 2, with no coding region annotated. The record is from RefSeq and is a predicted model, not a curated record. The transcript has 25 exons. Lineage: Eukaryota; Viridiplantae; Streptophyta; Magnoliopsida; Fabales; Fabaceae.
UAGGAUCCCAUCUCUCUCUCUCUCAAAAACUCGAAAAUUCGAGUUCCAAACUCUCUCUUCCCUUCUUCUAUUGAACGCUCCACGGCUUCUUCUUCUUCUCUUCCCUCAUUCACCCCCAAAUUCAUUCUUUCUCUUCUUUUCACUGUUCCUUUUUGUUAAUUGUUCCUCUAACGUAGAAGCGCGGGAGAGAGAGGCACACAUAAAAUUAACCUAUUUUCCUUUUUUUUCUUACCCCUUUUUUCUGCUCUCUUUUUUUUUUUCACUUAUUGUUCUUCUUGUUCUUGCUGUUGCUGCCUCGGAUCAAACCGGUCACAGUUGUUUUUCGCUUCAGAGAUCUCUUCUGCUCGACUUGUGUUUUUCCAGCAAAACUUCAAUUUUCCCGUGAAAAUCGACAAAAGAUGAAGAGGACAAGGGAUGAUGCUUUCUCUGGCUCUCAAUUCAAACGGCCCUUUGCUUCGUCACGUGGUGAUUCCUAUGGCCAAACCCAAGGUGCUGGAGGAGGAAGUGGAGGUGGUGGUGGUGGAGGAGCAACCCCGUCUCAGAAAUUGACAACCAAUGAUGCCUUAACUUAUUUGAAGGAAGUGAAAGACAUGUUUCAGGAUCAGAGAGAAAAAUAUGACUUGUUCCUUGAGGUCAUGAAAGAUUUCAAGGCUCAGAGGACUGACACUGCUGGUGUCAUAGCAAGGGUGAAGGAGCUAUUCAAAGGGCACAACAAUUUGAUAUUUGGAUUUAACACUUUCUUGCCUAAGGGAUAUGAGAUAACACUUGAUGAGGAAGAGGCUCCUCCGAAGAAAACAGUUGAAUUUGAAGAAGCGAUUAGUUUUGUGAACAAGAUAAAGAAACGAUUCCAAAAUGAUGAGCAUGUUUACAAAUCAUUCUUGGACAUUUUGAACAUGUACCGCAAAGAGCACAAGGACAUUGGUGAGGUUUAUAGCGAGGUUGCUACCCUUUUCAAGGACCAUAGAGAUUUGCUUGAUGAGUUCACUAGAUUCUUACCAGAUACUUCUCAGGCACCUUCUGCACAGCAUGCUCCAUAUGGUCGAAGUUCAUUGCAACGAUUCAAUGAGCGGAGUUCUACAGCACCCAUGAUGCGACAAGUGCAUGUAGACAAGCAACGUUAUCGACGAGACAGGAUUCUUGGCUCUCAUGAUCGUGAUCAGAGCGUUGAUCGAGCUGAUCUGGAUGAUGACAAAAUAAACAUGCACAAGGAGCAGAGGAAACGUGAGAAUAGGGAUAGAAGAGUCCGUGAUCAUGAUGAGAGAGAACAAGAUCUUGAUAAUGGCAGGGAUUUGAACUUGCAACGCUUUCAAGACAAAAAGAAAUCUGUCAAGAAGGCGGAAGGGUUUGCCAUGGCUUCUGACUUUCCUUCAUAUGAUGACAAAGAUGCGUUAAAGACCAUGUAUGGUCAAGCAUUCAGCUUCUGCGAGAAAGUUAAGGAGAAGUUGAGCAGUUCUGAUGACUACCAAGCAUUCUUGAAGUGCCUUCACAUUUUCAGCAAUGGGAUAAUAAAAAGGAACGAUUUGCAAAAUUUGGUAACUGAUUUACUUGGAAAACACUCUGAUCUAUUGCAUGAAUUCAAUGAUUUCCUGGAGCGUUGUGAAAAUAUUGAUGGAUUCCUUGCUGGUGUCAUGAGUAAAAAGUCUCUGUCUACCGAUGGUCAUAUAUCAAGAUCAUCAAAGUUGGAGGACAAAGAUAAAGAGCACAAGCGUGAGAUGGAUGGAACUAAAGAGAAAGAAAGAUACAGUAAAUACUCGGGAAAAUCCAUUCAAGAACUCGAUCUUAGUGAUUGCAAACGUUGUACUCCAAGCUACAGGCUGCUGCCUGCAGAUUAUCCAAUUCCCGUGGCUAGUCAGAGAUCUGAACUUGGAGCUCAAGUAUUGAAUGACCAUUGGGUAUCUGUGACUUCAGGAAGCGAGGAUUACUCUUUCAAACAUAUGCGCAGGAAUCAGUAUGAAGAAAGCUUAUUCAGAUGCGAAGAUGACAGAUUUGAAAUGGACAUGCUAUUAGAGUCAGUGAGUUCUGCUGCGAAACGUGUAGAGGAGUUGUCUAAUAGCAUUAAUGAGAAUAAGAUGGAGAACUUGGGCCGGAUUGAAGAUCAAUUCACUGCUUUAAAUUUAAGGUGUAUUGAACGUUUGUACGGUGACCAUGGUCUCGAUGUGAUAGACAUUUUGCGUAAAAAUCCAACUCAUGCUCUGCCUGUAAUAUUGACUCGACUUAAGCAGAAACAAGAGGAGUGGACUAAGUGUCGUGCAGAUUUCAAUAAAGUUUGGGCUGAAAUUUAUGCUAAGAACCACUACAAGUCACUCGAUCACCGUAGCUUCUAUUUCAAGCAACAAGAUUCAAAGAACUUGCACACGAAAUAUUUGGUGACUGAGAUUAAAGAAAUUAAAGAGAAGCAGCAAAAAGAGGAUGAUAUUCUUCAGUCCAUUGCUGCUGGAAGUAAACAGCCUCUAACUCCACAUCUUGAGUUUGAAUAUCCUGAUGCUGCAAUUCAUGAAGACUUGUAUAAACUUAUUCGGUAUUCAUGUGAGGAGAUUUACACUAGUAGGGAGUUGAUGAAUAAAACUAUGAGGCUCUGGUGUACCUUUUUGGAACCGAUGCUUGGUGUUCCUUCCCGAUCACAUGGGACAGAAAAGGUGGAAGAGAGGAAAGCAGGGCCUAAUGUUGGCAAUGCAGGCAAUGGAAGUCCUCAUGGAGACUCCAUUUCAAUUAAUUCAAGGUUACCAAAAUCUGACAAGAAUGAAGCGGAUGGUAGAGUACCUGAUGUAAAGAAUGUUCACCGGACUAGUGCUGCAGCUAAUGACAAAGAAAAUGGAUCUGUUGGUCGUGAAAAUAUCUGUAGAGAUGAACCCCCACUGGAUAAAGGGCAGACAAAUAUAGAGUGCAACGAUAAAGUCUCUGGGAUUAAUAAACAAUUUUCUGCUGAUGAACAAGGAGCCAAAAACAAUGCGUUAAUUUCAGUUAGAGGAGAAAAAUUAGAAGAUAAUCCUAGCAGGAACAACGAAGAAUUGACUCCAGAAGGCGCUGUCACUACUCCUUCUCGACCUACUGACGCUGACGAAUCCGUACCUAAACCUCAGGAAGUAAAUGCUACUUUGGUAGAGGGGUCUGAUGUUACAGCUCCAGUUACAGUGGCCGAUGGGGUACCAACUCAGAGCAGUAAAGUUAGAAGCCAUGAAGAAUCUGCUGGGCCUUGUAAAACUGAAAAGGAAGAGGGCGAGUUAUCACCAAAUGGUGAUUCAGAGGAGGAUAACUUUGUUGCUUAUGGAGAUUCAAAUGUGCAGUCAAUGUCUAAGUCAAAGCACACUAUUGAGAGAAGAAAAUAUCAGUCCAGAAUUGGAGAGGAUGAGUCCUGCCCAGAGGCUGGAGCAGGCGAUAAUGAUGCAGAUGCAGAUGAUGAGGACAGUGAAAAUGUGUCUGAAGCUGGUGAAGAUGUCUCGGGCAGUGAAUCUGCUGGUGAUGAAUGCUUCCGAGAGGACCACGAGGAUGAGGAAGAUAUAGAGCAUGAUGAUGUUGAUGGUAAGGCUGAGAGUGAAGGUGAAGCAGAGGGUACAUGUGAUGCACAAUCUGCUGGAGGAGAUGGUUCAUCUCAGCCAGAUUCAGAAAGGUUUCUUUCGUCUGUGAAACCUCUGACAAAGCAUGUUUCAGCAGUGUCAUAUGUUGAAGACAUGAAGGAUUCAAGGGUGUUUUACGGAAAUGAUGAUUUCUAUGCACUUUUUAGGCUUCAUCAACUUCUUUAUGAAAGGAUCUUGUCUGCAAAAACCAAUGCCACGAAUUCAGAAAUGAAAUGGAAAGCCAAGGAUGCCAGCUCCCCAGAUCCUUAUUUGAAAUUUAUGGAUGCAUUGUACAACCUUCUUGAUGGAUCUUUUGAGAAUGCAAAGUUUGAAGAUGAAUGCCGAGCAAUUAUUGGCAACCAGUCAUAUGUGUUAUUCACAUUGGACAAAUUAAUAUAUAAACUAGUUAGACAUCUUCAAAAUGUUGCAACAGAUGAUAUGGCCAAUAAGCUGCUCCAAUUGUAUGAGUACGAAAAGUCUCGGAAACCUGGGAAACUAAACGAUUCAGUAUAUCAUGCAAAUGCACAUGUUAUCCUUAAUGAGGACAAUAUAUAUCGAUUGCAAUGUUCCUCACCACCCUCUCGGCUAUCCAUCCAGCUCAUGGACAAUAUGAAUGAAAAGCCUGAGAUGUUUGCUGUUUCUAUUGAUCCAAAUUUUUCUUUUUACCUUCACAAUGAUUUUCUCUCCAUCCUUCCUUCUAAAAAGGAACCCCAUGGCAUUUUACUUCAAAGAAACAAACGCAAAUUUGGAGAUAUUGAUGAGCUUUCUGGAAUAACUUCUGCUAUGGAAGGUGUCAAGCUAAUUAACGGCUUGGAAUGUAAGAUAGCUUGCAGCUCGUCCAAGAACAAAGAGGAUAAUUUGGACAAAUUGAAUACAUCUUAGAUGGAGUUAAGUUCGGUUAGAUAUAAAGGUGGUCAAUGUAAUAUAUGUAAAUAGAGGGGUGAUUUACACUGAACCUUAACCUUUUUUCAAGGUUUGGCAAUUCACCCUUUUAUUUAUUAUAAGAUCUCCUAUGUUCUCGACACACAAGAUUUCUUUUUCCGGCCGAAAAGGAGAAGGCAAGCGUCACCGGAAACCAGAUCUUGUCGGCACCGGAGGGACAGAGAGGAAAGAUACCGCAGGUUGAUGGCGACCGUGUCUCAAUGACUUGUAUCUUAAUAACAUUGACUGGAACCCCAUUAGGUAACAAGAAGCAGCUUCCAGAAUUGUUCUCUUGACAAUCUAUUGAACACAUGGAAGACUCGCUCACAUUAUACUUUAAUGUUUAUAUGAGUCUUGGUGUAGCAACAAAGAAACAAAAAAAAAAAAACGUAGGAAUCUUGAGGUUCUUGAUUUUUAAUUUUUAUUUUUUUUAUUGUCAUAAUGCACUUGAAUUUUUCAUGUGAAUGUAGGGGAGGGGAAUGUACAUGUAAAGUGUGCUACUUGAUUAUGUUUAUGAGGGUCUCAUGCAUGGGUUUCACUCCUUUGUAAAUAGUCUCUGUUGCAUAAUAUAUUUGUAGAUUAUUGUUUACCAUAAUGAAUAUUGUUCUUAUUUGCCAAA